UGGCAGGGGGUUGGACUGGAUGGCCCAUGAGGUCUCUUCCAACUCUACUAUUCUUUUUUCAGUUUUUUUAUUUAAAUUAUUGAAAAAAAUUGAAUUUUACAUAUUCAGUACUUAAAACUUAUACAUUCUUUAACAUAUUUGCAAUACAGAGUUAUGUAUAUCAUAGCUCCUAUGGUAUUUUCACUCUCUAACUAUAUUACAUACUCAUAUUAUUUACCUUUUGUUACCCUUCACCUAGUGCUAUUCCAGCUCUACUAUUCUAUGAUUCUAUGAUUCUACUAUUUUUCACUACCUCACAAUGCCACACUGCCUUACUUUGAUUGUUUAACAAUGAUACUACACUGUCUUUAUGAAGCCACAUUCUAGGGAGAACCAUCUUUCUCAUCCCACUCUGGGAUGUUGCAGUUGAAAAAUAAGGCCACAUGAACACACACCAGGAACCAGGAUUGUGAUCAUUGUUGCUCUCAGGAUCGUAAAACAGGCAGUGGGCUGGGGGAGAGUGGAGAAGCCUAAGGAAGGAAGAGAAAAGGAGGCUGAAGCAGCUUUGUUUUCGCCUCAUAAGGCAGCAGCAGCACCGGGAGCGCACAUGCACGUGCUUUAAAGGUCGAAGUGAACACACAGAACAAACAAAGCUGAAAAAAAAUCACAAUUUAAGAGUUCUACAUACUCCCCCUCCUGUCUUAUUGGAAACAGAAUACUGCCAUCACCUCUUGAGAAAGAAAUUACUACAUCAACAAGCUGAUACAGUUCAGACAUUACCCAUGUCUUGCCUCAAGAUUCGUUCUGUCCAUAUACUUCCACAAUGUUUAUUGCUGCACAUAAAUGAUCCAGGAGAAACUGAACAACACCUGAAUACUGAAGCAAUCAUACAUAUGAAUGAGCCAAUAAAAAUCUUCACUGUUUUUUA
Anolis carolinensis (green anole) is the source of this 907-nucleotide long non-coding RNA. RefSeq lists it as uncharacterized. The record is from RefSeq and is a predicted model, not a curated record. The transcript has 3 exons. Lineage: Eukaryota; Metazoa; Chordata; Lepidosauria; Squamata; Anolidae.